GACGAACGCUGGCGGCGUGCUUAACACAUGCAAGUCGAACGGAAAGGCCCUGCUUUUGUGGGGUGCUCGAGUGGCGAACGGGUGAGUAACACGUGAGUAACCUGCCCUUGACUUUGGGAUAACUUCAGGAAACUGGGGCUAAUACCGGAUAGGAGCUCCUGCUGCAUGGUGGGGGUUGGAAAGUUUCGGCGGUUGGGGAUGGACUCGCGGCUUAUCAGCUUGUUGGUGGGGUAGUGGCUUACCAAGGCUUUGACGGGUAGCCGGCCUGAGAGGGUAACCGGCCACAUUGGGACUGAGAUACGGCCCAGACUCCUACGGGAGGCAGCAGUGGGGAAUAUUGCACAAUGGGCGGAAGCCUGAGGCAGCAACGCCGCGUGCGGGAUGACGGCCUUCGGGUUGUAAACCGCUUUCGCCUGUGACGAAGCGUGAGUGACGGUAAUGGGUAAAGAAGCACCGGCUAACUACGUG
Molecule: ribosomal RNA, 468 nt
Filed under: uncultured bacterium
Lineage: Bacteria
Description: partial 16S ribosomal RNA
Rfam family: Bacterial small subunit ribosomal RNA
Source: RNAcentral